Molecule: long non-coding RNA, 1676 nt
Organism: Sander lucioperca (pikeperch)
Lineage: Eukaryota; Metazoa; Chordata; Actinopteri; Perciformes; Percidae
Exons: 4
Source: RefSeq, a predicted model, not a curated record
AAGUCUCGCAACCACUUCAGUAUGAAUGGUGGAGCUGCACCGUAAAACUCUGGUGCAGCAAUUAAGAAAGUUAGUUAAUACAGACGCAGAUAGAGAGACAGAGACACAUGGUUUCCUGAUGUGUUGAUUUUUAUUCUGCAGCGCAAAAGAUUGAAAGUGAAAGAAAAUGUGUCAGCGCUGGUGUAGAUGUGCGCCUCGCAAAUGUUGGCAGUUGAAAAAGAAAAAGACGUGCAAAGUUUGCGCCUGACCGCCAGUGAUGUGGGUUUGCUGUGAAGACUUUCUGAUGAAGAGGAGAACGAAGACUGACAAACUGGGCUAAGGUGCAGGAUUGAGAAACGUCUCACCACAGGACCAUCAGGCUAGUUUCCACCACAUUUACCCAUCCUGACAACUGAUGGGGAAACCACCUCAGCGAAGCUCAUCGGGUAGGAGUUAACAUUUGACAUAUUGCUGAGUCAGUUUGGGGUCAUGACAUCAUCAUCAUGAGAUGGGGCGGCUGCUGAGUGGUGACCACAGGCAGCGACAGAAGACGUGGUGCUGUAUGUCCUUGUUUGCAGCUGCUGGUUCUUGGCAAAAAAACGUGUGGUGGAGUUGCCUCAGGGAAAAAUUUGCUCAAUUGUUGAAAGCAAAAACAAAUUCAAGAGAUUUGCAAGGGCAGUAAGUACGAUUUUUAUUGUUGCAUUGCACCAGAUGACCAUAAAACACCUGCAGGAGGUCGAUAGUGUUUGUAAUUGUCCAGGUGCUGAGGUGUGUUAGCUUUCCAAACUCUUUCCUUUUCUUUUAGUUUCGCUUGUGGGCUGUUUUGGCUCAAAAUCCCCAGACAAAGUGAAGUCAUGCAGAUGCUGUUAAAAUCCCAGCUGGUGGUGAACACAGCAAGUAACACAUAAGUAAAUUAGUACUAUGUAUAUAUAUAUAUAUAUAUAUAUAUAUAUCAUGAAGAGACAAGCUGAAAAAAAACAGUUGAAAGUGUUGAAUUAUUAAUAUUUUAGUGAUUUGCAGGCAUCUAUAGACUUUCAAUGAAAAGGACUAAAAUAAGUUGGGAUAAAAUCUAAUCAAAUAGAUUUUAAUAUCAUUUUAUUUCUUACAGUUGUGUAUAAAUUGUGAAACACUUUUUUCACAACCAUAAACUGUUCUAUAAUAAUAUUUUUAAUCACUAAUGAUUUAUUUUAAAAGAUGAUCACUAACGAUUUUUAUUGGCAGCUCUGUAAUUUCUCUUGUAAUUUGGGUUCACGGCAGCUUUAUACUUUGUUAACUUGAAAUAAAUGAGUUAGUGCUGAAACCUUGCAUGUAACUUUUCCUUGCGUGAGGAAUCUAUGCUGCUAGUCCUGAUUUACUAUCUAAGAAAUCAAAAGUCAAAAUAUCUUACAAGGUUUGGUUCUUUGUUCACUAAAUUCACUAGGUUUGGCAGGGAGAUUGGCACUAGCAGACACAUAAGAGCAGUAAGACACAAGAAACACACACAACCACUGACUUGAAAGAAUAAUAGAAAAUAUAAUUAAUAGAAAAUACAUUUAUGAAAGGUUCUGUUCAGUUUCAUUUCUCUGGUAUACCUUACUUCCUUUUUCUUACAUUUUUCAUUGUCUUUAGAAAACCAAAUUAGUUCCACCUGACUCAAAUCUACCUAAGUCAAAUAUAACAUGGAAAUAAUUAGAAAACAAAUAAAUGUACAGCCAAAA